CAGGUUUAAAAACAGGAGAAAUUGCUGGCAUCAGUGUAACGGCAACUGUAUUAGUUAUAGGAGCACUAAUUGUAGGAGGUUAUUAAUUUAAGCGAAGCAUUUCAAAAUAACCUGCUUAAUAUAUGGCUUAAAACACAGGUACAGAUGAUGAUACGUCAGCAUAUAAACGAAAAGAAUUGAAGAAACCACCAUCUUUUCCUCAUUAGAACGGAGUGUAUAUGCAGUAGAAUAUGUCCCAGUUCUUGCGUUGUGUGUCCCUAUAAUGAUAACUAGCUAUUUUAUUAUUGUUUUAACAUAUUGAUUGAUAUACAUUUAACCCAUAUCCUCAGCGAUUGUUAUCAUCUUACAUCCAGAUCAUGUUAAGUUAUGGGCAUAGAAAACUCUAGAGGAGAUAACCGAAUACAGGAUAAUAUCUAUCCGUUUCAGAAACCAAAAUGAGGGACUACUAUACACAAUGUAAUGCAUAAGAGCACACUGGAUGUAGAGCUAAGUUGUUUACAACAUAACUAUUAUGGAGAGAAUAAUGUCAUCUGAGAUCUGUUAUCGUAUUUUUACCAUUGUUUUGAAAGAGCGAGCACAUACAUAUAUAUAUAUAUAUAUAUAUAUACAAAUUCACUUGCCUUCAUUGACUUUCCCUGGCAAUUCGCCUCAUCAGACGCAUGUGUUCCGUCAACAUUUGAUCACAUGGUAAUUCUUGUGUUUUUCUAAUGUUGUCUCGUGCUCAUCAGCC
Molecule: long non-coding RNA, 730 nt
Filed under: Mytilus galloprovincialis (Mediterranean mussel)
Lineage: Eukaryota; Metazoa; Mollusca; Bivalvia; Mytilida; Mytilidae
Source: RNAcentral